RNAcentral lists this ribosomal RNA (247 nucleotides) under phenanthrene-metabolizing bacterium DGGE-band-2. RNAcentral describes it as "partial 16S ribosomal RNA". It matches the Rfam family "Bacterial small subunit ribosomal RNA", at positions 1105 to 1358 of the family's 1533-position model. Lineage: Bacteria; Pseudomonadati; Pseudomonadota; Betaproteobacteria. The record is from RNAcentral.
UUGUCCUUAGUUGCUACGCAAGAGCACUCUAAGGAGACUGCCGGUGACAAACCGGAGGAAGGUGGGGAUGACGUCAAGUCCUCAUGGCCCUUAUGGGUAGGGCUUCACACGUCAUACAAUGGUCGGAACAGAGGGUUGCCAAGCCGCGAGGUGGAGCCAAUCCCAGAAAACCGAUCGUAGUCCGGAUCGCAGUCUGCAACUCGACUGCGUGAAGCUGGAAUCGCUAGUAAUCGCGGAUCAGCAUGCC